RNAcentral lists this long non-coding RNA (795 nucleotides) under Struthio camelus australis. RNAcentral's name for it is "lncRNA (ENSSCUG00000013146.1)". The record is from RNAcentral. Lineage: Eukaryota; Metazoa; Chordata; Aves; Struthioniformes; Struthionidae.
UCCAGGGGGAGGGGAGGCUGCAGCGGGGUCCCUCGGCGUGUGCCGAGGGCUGUGGGUCCUGCCCCCGCCGCGUGCGUUGCCCACGGCACGGAGCGUUUGGUGACUCAGCCCAGGCUCACGUUAUUUCUCCCCGUGCCGAGGGCUCCCCGGGCUGCCAGUGCCCCAGCCCCGCUGCACGGGGCUGCUGCCGCCCGCCUCCCCCAGCUCCGGCACCUCAGGGUGCUGGCACCUCUCAGCGCUGACGCGUGCCAGACGGGCGAUCCUCUGCAAAGCCUCCGAGCAGCCAGCAAAUCAUGGGACGCCUUGUAGGAGGUGCUGCUAUCACAGUGAAUGAUUUAUGAGCUAUUUUGGAAGUGGAGCUGGAGCCCUUGGAGUCAAGCUGUCUUCUCUUUCAAGGCAUCGUGCGUGUUACAGAGUCAAACCCAGGACUUCUCAGUGGUUAGGGGUGCCCUCUCCCGCGGCCUGUUCAUCACCUGCUCGCUCCAAUUGCUGGUAAAACCGAACCGUGGCAAUGCAGAAGGCUACGCAGCGAACGGUGGCGAAGGAGGAGGAAGGCCUGUGUGCCAAGAGGACGGGUGGCUUUACGGGACUGCCUCCGGCUGCGGCACGCUCGGAGCAUCAGCCUGGCGUUUCUACAAACGCUUCGUACCGCUUCCUUCACAAGGAGGCGGCUGGUCUGCGCAGAGCAGCCCAGUUAGCAAGCAACAGCUUUCUGUCUUCGCGUCGGUGGAGCUGGACUGGAGGGACCCGCGUGCGAGUGUGCCGCCAGCCCAGCCGGCGGAGACCUGGGACCCC